UACGUAGGGGGCAAGCGUUAUCCGGAUUUACUGGGUGUAAAGGGAGCGUAGACGGCAGUGCAAGUCUGGAGUGAAAGGCGGGGGCUCAGCCCCCGGACUGCUCUGGAAACUGUACGGCUGGAGUGCAGGAGAGGUAAGUGGAAUUCCUAGUGUAGCGGUGAAAUGCGUAGAUAUUAGGAGGAACACCAGUGGCGAAGGCGGCUUACUGGACUGUAACUGACGUUGAGGCUCGAAAGCGUGGGGAGCAAACAGG
This 253-nucleotide ribosomal RNA is filed under the name uncultured bacterium. RNAcentral's name for it is "partial 16S ribosomal RNA". It matches the Rfam family "Bacterial small subunit ribosomal RNA", at positions 524 to 776 of the family's 1533-position model. The record is from RNAcentral.